CAGCCGCCGCGGUAAUACGUAGGUGGCAAGCGUUGUCCGGAAUUAUUGGGCGUAAAGCGCGCGCAGGCGGUUCCUUAAGUCUGAUGUGAAAUCUCGCGGCUCAACCGUGAGCGGGCAUUGGAAACUGGGGAACUUGAGUGCAGGAGAGAAGAGCGGAAUUCCACGUGUAGCGGUGAAAUGCGUAGAGAUGUGGAGGAACACCAGUGGCGAAGGCGGCUCUUUGGCCUGUAACUGACGCUGAGGCGCGAAAGCGUGGGGAGCAAACAGGAUUAGAUACCCUGGUAGUCCACGCCGUAAACGAUGAGUGCUAGGUGUUAGAGGGGUUCCGCCCUUUAGUGCUGCAGCUAACGCAUUAAGCACUCCGCCUGGGGAGUACGGCCGCAAGGCUGAAACUUAAAGGAAUUGGCGGG
Molecule: ribosomal RNA, 410 nt
Filed under: uncultured microorganism
Description: bacterial SSU rRNA
Rfam family: Bacterial small subunit ribosomal RNA
Source: RNAcentral